Molecule: long non-coding RNA, 597 nt
Organism: Aedes aegypti (yellow fever mosquito)
Lineage: Eukaryota; Metazoa; Arthropoda; Insecta; Diptera; Culicidae
Exons: 2
Source: RefSeq, a predicted model, not a curated record
GCAAACACCAACUGAACUUUGACGAUUCAGAGGAAAAACGAACAUGUCGGAGUGAAUAGGCGGACUAGAGACUUUCAACUCGGAAGAUGACCCCGUAAUGCCGCCUAUGACCCAUGAAACGAUCUACAACUAAGGAUGGGUCGAAUGUAUCGACGAGGGGAUUCACGCCAUGAUCGUCGUAGUGACAUCCCAAUGGAACAGCAGGAGAUAGCGGCCAACAUGAUCCACAAGGACAUCGAAGCAUACGCCAAUGAAUACAUCUGAUCGGAAUGAACUCCCUUUGGACUGGGAAAACAACCAAAGCCAGUUGAUCCCGUCCGGAACGUCUUCGCCAAUCGAGGACAGAGGCAGUACCAUCUAUAUAACCGAGAGCACUACCAGUGUGCUUGCCAGCAGGAUACUGCCGUAGACCAAGCCGUAGCCGAUCUGGUAUUGGAGUUCGAUUCCAACUAGCUUGACUGUGAAUCUUCACCAUGGAACCAGUUAUUUUUUAUGGAUACCUUCCGAUGGCAACAUUGCGUGUUCAAAUAAGCGAUGCAACUGCAUGUAAAAAAGUGAUAAAUAGUGAGUUUAGUGAAAUAAAUUAAAACAACUAAA